Molecule: long non-coding RNA, 301 nt
Organism: Neogale vison (American mink)
Lineage: Eukaryota; Metazoa; Chordata; Mammalia; Carnivora; Mustelidae
Exons: 3
Source: RefSeq, a predicted model, not a curated record
CAGCAGCAAGUUAUUCCUCAGAAAACUGUGGUCCAUGUCUUCAAACAUCUUACCAGAACUAAAGACUGUGAGGGAAGUGAAUGGGCAGCGAAGUGCCAAAGGCAAGCGGCCAGAGAAGAGCAGCAACCUGGACAUCCAACCUCUGGAAAAGUGAAAAUCUACUGGGGCCCACUCUCAUUUCAGAGAUUAUAACCUGUCUGGUUUGUAUAACCUCUGAGCCUUGAGCCUCAAAUACCAGGAUGCCCACUGUAAACGGACAGCAGGCUGGGUGCUGAGCAGAGUUGGAGAAUGAGAAGGAAAA